GCCGUAGCGAAAGCGAGUCUGAAUAGGGCGCAUAAGUAACAGGUCGUAGACCCGAAACCAGGUGAUCUACCCAUGUCCAGGAUGAAGGUAAGGUAAUACUUACUGGAGGUCCGAACCCACGCACGUUGAAAAGUGCGGGGAUGAGGUGUGGGUAGCGGAGAAAUUCCAAUCGAACUUGGAGAUAGCUGGUUCUCUCCGAAAUAGCUUUAGGGCUAGCCUCGAGGUAAAGAGUCAUGGAGGUAGAGCACUGUUUGGACUAGGGGCCCUUCUCGGGUUACCGAAUUCAGAUAAACUCCGAAUGCCAUGUACUUAUACUCGGGAGUCAGACUGCGAGUGAUAAGAUCCGUAGUCGAAAGGGAAACAGCCCAGACCACCAGUUAAGGUCCCCAAAUAUAUGUUAAGUGGAAAAGGAUGUGGGGUUGCUUAGACAACCAGGAUGUUGGCUUAGAAGCAGCCACCAUUGAAAGAGUGCGUAAUAGCUCACUGGUCGAGUGACCCCGCGCCGAAAAUGUACCGGGGCUAAACAUAUUACC
RNAcentral lists this ribosomal RNA (533 nucleotides) under Listeria monocytogenes. RNAcentral's name for it is "partial 23S ribosomal RNA". It matches the Rfam family "Bacterial large subunit ribosomal RNA", at positions 665 to 1195 of the family's 2925-position model. Lineage: Bacteria; Bacillati; Bacillota; Bacilli; Caryophanales; Listeriaceae. The record is from RNAcentral.